CCCUUAGAUGUUCUGGGCCGCACGCGUGCUACACUGAGUGGAUCAGCGGGUCAGGUUGCGCGAAAGCGUUACCUAAUCUUUAAAUCCGCUCGUGAUGGGGAUUGACGGUUGCAAUUUUCUGUCAUGAACGAGGAAUACCUUGUAAGCGCGGGUCAUCAUCCCGCGCUGAAUACGUCCCUGCCCUUUGUACACACCGCCCGUCGCUCCUACCGAUUGAGUGGUCCGGUGAGGCUUUGGGAUCUGAGCGGAAAGAGCGUUUCGCUGUUUCUGCUCGGAAAACUCAGUCGAACCUUAUCAUUUAGAGGAAGGAGAAGUCGUAACA
Molecule: ribosomal RNA, 322 nt
Filed under: uncultured eukaryote
Lineage: Eukaryota
Description: partial 18S ribosomal RNA
Rfam family: Eukaryotic small subunit ribosomal RNA
Source: RNAcentral